AUUGAACGCUGGCGGCAUGCCUUACACAUGCAAGUCGAACGAUAGAGGGGGCAACCCCUUGAGAGUGGCGAACGGGUGAGUAAAGCAUCGGAACGUGCCCAGGAGUGGGGGAUAGCUCGGCGAAAGCCGGAUUAAUACCGCAUGUGACCUGAGGGUGAAAGCGGGGGACCGCAAGGCCUCGCGCUCGUGGAGCGGCCGAUGUCAGAUUAGGUAGUUGGUGGGGUAAAGGCCUACCAAGCCGACGAUCUGUAGCUGGUCUGAGAGGACGACCAGCCACACUGGGACUGAGACACGGCCCAGACUCCUACGGGAGGCAGCAGUGGGGAAUUUUGGACAAUGGGCGCAAGCCUGAUCCAGCCAUGCCGCGUGCGGGAAGAAGGCCUUCGGGUUGUAAACCGCUUUUGUCAGGGAAGAAAUCUGCCGGGUUAAUACCCUGGUGGGAUGACGGUACCUGGAGAAUAAGCACCGGCUAACUACGUGCCAGCCGCCGCAGUAA
Molecule: ribosomal RNA, 496 nt
Filed under: uncultured bacterium
Lineage: Bacteria
Description: partial 16S ribosomal RNA
Rfam family: Bacterial small subunit ribosomal RNA
Source: RNAcentral